AGUCUCUUCCUGCUGCCUGAUGAUCUAGAUGUAGAGCUCUCAGCUCCUUCUCCAGCACUAGCUCUGCCUGUGUACCACCAUGCUUCCCUCCAUGAUGAUAAUGGACUAAACUUCUGAACUGUAAGCCAGCCCCAGUGAAAUGGUGUCCUUUAUGAGUGGCCAAGGUCAUGAUGUCUCUUCACAACAAUAGAACCCUAACACUAGAAUGUCACUGCAUGGUCAUGCUGGCUUUAAACUCACGUCCCAAGUGCUAGUAUUACAGUCCUGUGUCACCAUGCCUAGCUGUCAGAAGUUUACGAAGCUGAAGAAGGCCACACUCAGGUGUCUGAAGGACGGCCAG
Molecule: long non-coding RNA, 340 nt
Filed under: Mus caroli (Ryukyu mouse)
Lineage: Eukaryota; Metazoa; Chordata; Mammalia; Rodentia; Muridae
Description: lncRNA (MGP_CAROLIEiJ_G0006626.1)
Source: RNAcentral